This 899-nucleotide ribosomal RNA is filed under the name Syncephalastrum racemosum. RNAcentral describes it as "LSU rRNA". It matches the Rfam family "Eukaryotic large subunit ribosomal RNA", at positions 38 to 937 of the family's 3401-position model. The record is from RNAcentral. Lineage: Eukaryota; Fungi; Mucoromycota; Mucoromycetes; Mucorales; Syncephalastraceae.
GCAUAUCAAUAAGCGGAGGAAAAAGAAAAAUAACCAUGAUUGCCCUAGUAACGGCGAAGUGAAGAGGCAAAAGCUCAAGUUUGGAAGCUCAAUGGUUUAACCUUUUGCGCAUUGUAAACUGAAAACAGGAUCAAUCAGGUACACCGGGUGAUAAGUUCCUUGGAAUAGGACAUCAUGGAGGGUGAGAAUCCCGUCUUUGACCCGAGUCUAGUAUCUUUUGUAUUGGCCUGUUCAAGAGUCAGGUUGUUUGGGAAUGCAGCCUAAAGCUGGAGGUAAAUCCCUCCUGAAGCUAAAUAAUGGCGAGAGACCGAUAGCGAACAAGUACCGUGAGGGAAAGAUGAAAAGAACUCUGAAGAGAGAGUUAAACAGUACGUGAAAUUGCUUAAAGGGAAGCAUAUAAAGCUAGGAUGCGAUUGUUUUCUUCAGGUUGAGCUUUGGCUUGACUGUUCAGAAGGAUAAUCCGAGACAACAAGAAUUGGAGGAGAAGAAUAAGCCAUUGGGGAAGGUAAUCCUUCGGGAUGUUUAUAGACCUGAUGGUUCGCGCUUUUCUUUCGAUUGAGGUACGCUUUUUUAAAGGUUGUUGUCUGAAUGGCUUUAUAUGGCCCGUCUUGAAACACGGACCAAGGAGUCCACCUAAUGUGCGAGUAUUUGGGAGGUAAACCCAUAUGCGCAAUGAAAGUGACCAACCUAUGAGGGGGUCCCUCGGGGCCUCUGCAAUAGGAUCGGGCAGGGACGUUUUAUACUGAACUGACUCAGAUAAAGCACAUUGGAUGGGACCCGAAAGAUGGUGAACUAUGCUUGGAUAGGGUGAAGCCAAAGGAAACUUUGGUGGAGGCUCGUAGCGAUUCUGACGUGCAAAUCGAUCGUCGAAUCUGAGCAUAGGGGCGAAAGACUAAUCG